UUGAGAGUUUGAUCCUGGCUCAGAACGAACGCUGGCGGCAGGCCUAACACAUGCAAGUCGAACGGUAACAUUUCUAGCUUGCUAGAAGAUGACGAGUGGCGGACGGGUGAGUAAUACUUAGGGAUCUGCCCCGGGGUGGGGGACAACCAUUGGAAACGAUGGCUAAUACCGCAUAACGUCU
This 181-nucleotide ribosomal RNA is filed under the name uncultured Amoebophrya. RNAcentral's name for it is "partial Bacterial small subunit ribosomal RNA". It matches the Rfam family "Bacterial small subunit ribosomal RNA", at positions 1 to 181 of the family's 1533-position model. Lineage: Eukaryota; Dinophyceae; Syndiniales. The record is from RNAcentral.